Long non-coding RNA from Quercus robur (English oak), 1548 nucleotides. RefSeq lists it as uncharacterized. The transcript has 3 exons. NCBI's taxonomy places the organism in Eukaryota, Viridiplantae, Streptophyta, Magnoliopsida, Fagales, Fagaceae. The record is from RefSeq and is a predicted model, not a curated record.
AAUUAAAUUUUUGUGAAUGCUUUGCUUUUAGUUUAUUCCACAAGCAUGGAGUCUGCUUUCUAUGCAAGAUUGAGACGAAGAUUAAUUUUAUCUUAAAAGAGAAAUGGAAGGGGAACGAUAUUGACAUAUUAAAAAAAUAUUUUUCUUUAAAAAACUCAUAAUUAGUAUGUAACCUAAUAAUUAGUAUGUAACCUAGGCCAAACAAGAACAAGAGAUGAUGAGCCAUUUGAAAGGAGUAUUCGACGUAGACAAUAUAUCAUUAAUGAUGAAAGUAGAAAACAACGUAAGUGUGGACGAGCAAGAGUCAGAGUUGUUGUUCUUUCCGUCUCCUCAAUACUCAGUCUCCACUCCCAUUUGAGCCAACUCCUCCAAGAAGCCGAUAAAGGUAAUCGUAAAUGUGCACACAGAGAUGGAUGGAGAGAGAUUAAGAGAGGAAUUCUAGGACUGUCAAACUACUACCAUGUCAAAUCAUCACCCACCUUCAACCCUAUCUCUUGACACCUUCAUAUACUGCAAGAACCACUACCAGUACAGGCCGACAACUAUUCACAGCUGCUUAUGCUUCACUGUCAUCAUUCUUUUGAACCCUUGGAAGGGUGAGCUUCAGUAAUUUGAAAUAAAAUGAUUUAGAAAGAAGAUAAAGUUUUUCACUUACCAAAAAAAAGGAAAGAAUAUAAGGUUUUAGUCAAUAGGCUUUCUAUGUUGCUCCUAUGGUCAUAAGGCUAAUCUUCAUUUUCCAAUAUUCAAACUAACAUUAUUGCUGCUGUGUGCUGCUAUACUAAGGCCUGGUGCUGUUGUUUGUGAAAUUUUUUUGUUGUUGUUGUACAUGCUAAUAUGCAUUAUGCUUCUAUUGUACUUAGUGUUAGCUGUAUUGUGAUCAUUGGUAAUUGUUGGCAUUGUACUAGGAAUUGAUGCAAAGUCCAGGACGUUUUGGUAGUUAUUGGCAGAUUCUUAAAAAAGCACUUAGUGAGAAAUAUUAACAUAGGCUAUGUUUGUUUGCUUCACGUUAAUAGAAGGUUGCAAGGAAAUUCAAAUGUUAAUAAAAAGUUGGCCUCUUAAGAGUGUGCCACCUUAGCUUUGGAGUCUUCACAAUUUUACACCUCAACAAUAUUUUUAAUUUUUAUUUUUAGCACGGUAUUUUAGGUAAAUAUUUUACUUAGUUUGAACUUAGAACUACUUUGAACCCGAUAAUGCACUCCCCCUCUCUCUAUCUUUGUAACCUCAAUAGGCUAUGGCUGCUACCGUGAUUUCAAAUAUCUCUAAUAGCAACCUCUGAGGACAACCAUCCAAAGGCAAGAUGGAAUGUGGGGUACCGCUGCAAGUGUUGCCUUGAAAAGAAAAGACUGCAGUUGAUUCAAAUGCUCCAGCUACUGCUUGCAGUGCACACAAGACUGAGACAAGGCUGAUGAAUAACUUUAUAUGUAAUAACAUUAUAACCUUAUUUCACAAAGUUCAAGGUCCUUAAUGUUUUUCUUUUAAUAUGUUUUAUUUAUUUAUUUAAAUUGAUGUAGUUUAUUUAAAGAUAUGUAAAGCAUUCUUGUGUUUGCA